GAAAUGUAAAGUCAUUAUAAAGCUGCUAACUUAAAUAAUAAGCGGUUAAAUUCCGUUAACAUUUCU
Molecule: transfer RNA, 66 nt
Filed under: Angulomastax meiospina
Lineage: Eukaryota; Metazoa; Arthropoda; Insecta; Orthoptera; Eumastacidae
Description: tRNA-Ser
Source: RNAcentral